Molecule: transfer RNA, 87 nt
Filed under: Candidatus Zhuqueibacterota bacterium
Lineage: Bacteria; Pseudomonadati
Description: candidate division KSB1 bacterium (microbial mat metagenome) tRNA-Ser
Rfam family: tRNA
About the family: Transfer RNA (tRNA) molecules are approximately 80 nucleotides in length. Their secondary structure includes four short double-helical elements and three loops (D, anti-codon, and T loops). Further hydrogen bonds mediate the characteristic L-shaped molecular structure. tRNAs have two regions of fundamental functional importance: the anti-codon, which is responsible for specific mRNA codon recognition, and the 3' end, to which the tRNAs corresponding amino acid is attached (by aminoacyl-tRNA synthetases). tRNAs cope with the degeneracy of the genetic code in two manners: having more than one tRNA (with a specific anti-codon) for a particular amino acid; and 'wobble' base-pairing, i.e. permitting non-standard base-pairing at the 3rd anti-codon position.
Source: RNAcentral
GGAGAGGUGUCCGAGUGGCUGAAGGAGCACGCUUGGAAAGCGUGUGUAGGGUUCCCCCUACCGCGGGUUCGAAUCCCGCUCUCUCCG